Molecule: long non-coding RNA, 242 nt
Organism: Perca fluviatilis (European perch)
Lineage: Eukaryota; Metazoa; Chordata; Actinopteri; Perciformes; Percidae
Exons: 3
Source: RefSeq, a predicted model, not a curated record
UGCUUCAGAGGAGGCUCUUCUGAGGCUGCUGUCAGUGGCCAAAGCCUCCAACAAAGCUAUUUCUCAGCUCCCAGUCCUCUAGUAUGAGAGAGCUGGAUCUGAGUAACAAUGAGCUGCAGGAUUCAGGAGUAAAGCAGCUGUCGGCUGGACUGAAGAGUCCACACUGCAGACUGGAAACUCUCAGUCUUUCAGGCUGUCUGGUCUCAGAGGAAGGCUGUACUUCUCUGGCCUCAGCUCUCUGC